AACGAACGCUGGCGGCGCGCUUAACACAUGCAAGUCGAACGCAUGCUUGAUCUUCGGGUUGGGCAUGAGUGGCGGACGGGUGAGUAACGCGUGGGAACCUGCCCUGAGGUUCGGGACAACCGUGGGAAACUGCGGCUAAUACCGGAUAUCUCCUUUGGGAGAAAGACUUGUCGCCUUGGGAGGGGCCCGCGUCGGAUUAGCUUGUUGGUGGGGUAACGGCCUACCAAGGCAUCGAUCCGUAGCUGGUCUGAGAGGAUGAUCAGCCACACUGGGACUGAGACACGGCCCAGACUCCUACGGGAGGCAGCAGUGGGGAAUCUUGGACAAUGGGGGCGAACCCUACGAUCCACGCGACGCCG
This 359-nucleotide ribosomal RNA is filed under the name uncultured bacterium. RNAcentral's name for it is "bacterial SSU rRNA". It matches the Rfam family "Bacterial small subunit ribosomal RNA", at positions 29 to 399 of the family's 1533-position model. The record is from RNAcentral.